ACAACAUUCGGUCCGUCGGUCUACCGAGCAAUAUCACCCGCUCCGUAGAAGACUUUUGCUUUCAUCGU
This 68-nucleotide microRNA precursor is filed under the name Bombyx mori (domestic silkworm). Its description in RNAcentral is "mir-2774 microRNA precursor family". It matches the Rfam family "mir-2774 microRNA precursor family". The record is from Rfam by way of RNAcentral. Lineage: Eukaryota; Metazoa; Arthropoda; Insecta; Lepidoptera; Bombycidae.